Molecule: ribosomal RNA, 599 nt
Filed under: Firmicutes bacterium TH-S64
Lineage: Bacteria; Bacillati; Bacillota
Description: bacterial SSU rRNA
Rfam family: Bacterial small subunit ribosomal RNA
Source: RNAcentral
GCCUAAUACAUGCAAGUCGAGCGAAUGGAUUGAGAGCUUGCUCUCAAGAAGUUAGCGGCGGACGGGUGAGUAACACGUGGGUAACCUGCCCAUAAGACUGGGAUAACUCCGGGAAACCGGGGCUAAUACCGGAUAACAUUUUGAACUGCAUGGUUCGAAAUUGAAAGGCGGCUUCGGCUGUCACUUAUGGAUGGACCCGCGUCGCAUUAGCUAGUUGGUGAGGUAACGGCUCACCAAGGCAACGAUGCGUAGCCGACCUGAGAGGGUGAUCGGCCACACUGGGACUGAGACACGGCCCAGACUCCUACGGGAGGCAGCAGUAGGGAAUCUUCCGCAAUGGACGAAAGUCUGACGGAGCAACGCCGCGUGAGUGAUGAAGGCUUUCGGGUCGUAAAACUCUGUUGUUAGGGAAGAACAAGUGCUAGUUGAAUAAGCUGGCACCUUGACGGUACCUAACCAGAAAGCCACGGCUAACUACGUGCCAGCAGCCGCGGUAAUACGUAGGUGGCAAGCGUUAUCCGGAAUUAUUGGGCGUAAAGCGCGCGCAGGUGGUUUCUUAAGUCUGAUGUGAAAGCCCACGGCUCAACCGUGGAGGGUCA